RNAcentral lists this ribosomal RNA (253 nucleotides) under uncultured bacterium. RNAcentral describes it as "partial 16S ribosomal RNA". It matches the Rfam family "Bacterial small subunit ribosomal RNA", at positions 524 to 776 of the family's 1533-position model. The record is from RNAcentral.
UACGUAGGGGGCAAGCGUUGUCCGGAAUUAUUGGGCGUAAAGCGCGUGUAGGCGGCUCGGUAAGUCUGCUGUGAAAGUCCAGGGCUCAACCCUGGAAUGCCGGUGGAUACUGUCGAGCUCGAGUCCGGAAGAGGCGAGUGGAAUUCCUGGUGUAGCGGUGAGAUGCGCAGAUAUCAGGAGGAACACCAAUGGCGAAGGCAGCUCGCUGGGACGGUACUGACGCUGAGACGCGAAAGCGUGGGGAGCAAACAGG